ACCUCGGUGGUGUAGUGGUAGAGCACGCGUCCUUGGAUAGGAUGCAACGUGGAUUCGAUUCUCGCCUGAGGCC
This is a non-coding RNA of Parelaphostrongylus tenuis, 73 nucleotides long. The record is from the annotation of a GenBank genome assembly. Lineage: Eukaryota; Metazoa; Nematoda; Chromadorea; Rhabditida; Metastrongylidae.